RNAcentral lists this ribosomal RNA (191 nucleotides) under uncultured Flavobacteriales bacterium. RNAcentral's name for it is "partial 16S ribosomal RNA". It matches the Rfam family "Bacterial small subunit ribosomal RNA", at positions 335 to 523 of the family's 1533-position model. Lineage: Bacteria; Pseudomonadati; Bacteroidota; Flavobacteriia; Flavobacteriales. The record is from RNAcentral.
ACCCCUACGGGGGGCAGCAGUGAGGAAUAUUGGGCAAUGGGCGCAAGCCUGACCCAGCCAUGCCGCGUGCAGGAAGACUGCCCUACGGGUUGUAAACUGCUUUUUUACGGGAAGAAUAAGGGGUACGUGUAUCCUGGUGACGGUACCGUAGGAAUAAGCACCGGCUAACUCCGUGCCAGCAGCCGCGGUAA